GGGGUGAAGAUGAAAUGGAUUAGCGGCGGACGGGUGAGUAACACGUGAGUAACCUGCCUUAGACAUUGGGAUAGCCUCGGGAAACCGGGAUUAAUACCAAAUGAAAUCACAUAUGCACAUGCAUAAAUGAUCAAAGCUCCGGCGGUCUAAGAUGGACUCGCGUCCCAUUAGCUAGUUGGUGAGGUAACGGCCCACCAAGGCGACGAUGGGUAGCCGGCCUGAGAGGGUGAACGGCCACAUUGGAACUGAGAAACGGUCCAAACUCCUACGGGAGGCAGCAGUGGGGAAUAUUGCACAAUGGAGGGAACUCUGAUGCAGCGACGCCGCGUGAACGAAGAAGGCUUUCGAGUCGUAAAGUUCUUUUAUAUGGGAAGAUAAUGACGGU
RNAcentral lists this ribosomal RNA (385 nucleotides) under uncultured Peptoniphilus sp. RNAcentral's name for it is "bacterial SSU rRNA". It matches the Rfam family "Bacterial small subunit ribosomal RNA", at positions 82 to 458 of the family's 1533-position model. Lineage: Bacteria; Bacillati; Bacillota; Tissierellia; Tissierellales; Peptoniphilaceae. The record is from RNAcentral.